AAACGACUCUCGGCAACGGAUAUCUCGGCUCACGCAUCGAUGAAGAACGUAGCAAAAUGCGAUACUUGGUGUGAAUUGCAAAAUCCCGUGAACCAUCGAGUUUUUGAACGCAAGUUGCGCCCGAAGCCACCCGGUUGAGGGCACGUCUGCCUGGGCGUCACGC
RNAcentral lists this ribosomal RNA (163 nucleotides) under Eupatorium fernaldii. Its description in RNAcentral is "5.8S ribosomal RNA". It matches the Rfam family "5.8S ribosomal RNA". Rfam says of the family: 5.8S ribosomal RNA (5.8S rRNA) is a component of the large subunit of the eukaryotic ribosome. Lineage: Eukaryota; Viridiplantae; Streptophyta; Magnoliopsida; Asterales; Asteraceae. The record is from RNAcentral.